GGGAAGGUGGCUCAGUGGUAGAGCGCUUGCCUUGCAUGCACGAGGCCCAGGAUUUGAUUCCUCCGCACCCC
Dipodomys ordii (Ord's kangaroo rat) is the source of this 71-nucleotide non-coding RNA. The record is from Rfam. NCBI's taxonomy places the organism in Eukaryota, Metazoa, Chordata, Mammalia, Rodentia, Heteromyidae.